GGUGGGAUGGCGGAGCGGCUACGCGCGUGCCUGCAGAGCACGUCCACGGGGGUUCAAGUCCCUCUCCCACCU
RNAcentral lists this transfer RNA (72 nucleotides) under Nitrososphaerota archaeon. RNAcentral describes it as "Thaumarchaeota archaeon tRNA-Cys". It matches the Rfam family "tRNA". Rfam says of the family: Transfer RNA (tRNA) molecules are approximately 80 nucleotides in length. Lineage: Archaea; Thermoproteati; Nitrososphaerota. The record is from RNAcentral.